This is a long non-coding RNA of Gasterosteus aculeatus aculeatus (three-spined stickleback), 3068 nucleotides long. The record is from Ensembl. Lineage: Eukaryota; Metazoa; Chordata; Actinopteri; Perciformes; Gasterosteidae.
GGGGGUGGGGGGGUUAUGGCCCUAAAGUUCCCCUUAAAGCACGCACACACAAACGCUCUGCUCUUUUCUAUCCAAAAAAACAAGUAGCCUACAAGCCUCCUCUCUUUCUUGGUGCUUUGAUGUAUAGGUCCUUAGUCAGGCUGGAGGAGAUGCAUGCAUGCAGAAAUGCAUAUCUGCAUGCAUGCAUUUGCACACCGUGUGUGUGUGUGUGUGUUUACGAGGAGUUUAAGAAUAGACGACCCGUCUUCAAAGCGGCUCAACGGACGCCAUGGAAGCGCGGCCUUUGUUUGGCUGCCUUGUAAUUUCUGCCAUUAAUCAGAGUUGACGUCGACCUAAGCUUUUCCGCGUCGGGCCUGAUUGCUGGCCAGGGGGGUCAUCAUCAGCAGACAGAAAAAAUAACACAAGAAGGAGUUGGAGAAGAGAAAGGCCGAGUCCUCGACCCCUGACCCUGGAGCUAUUGUUCUGCUAAUUGAUCACCGCUGAUUGGGUUUAAACAUUCAUUUUCAAGCGUCAGAAAGCCCGCCGUGCGUCCUGAUCAAAGGGAAACGCCCCUAAUUAAUCUGCUGGUGUGCUCGGCGGAUUAACACAUUCUUGGCCGGCUGUGGUCACAGAACAGAAAAAGGGAAACGGCGGCGGGCUGCAGCAGCAGGUGACCCAAGGGAGUUGGAAGAAAGAGGCCGCUCCAGCAAUCAGGGGGGCUUAGCAGUAUUUGCUUCCCUAAAUGAACCCCUUGUCCCAGAGUGUGUGUGUGUGUGUGUGUGUGAGUGUGUGACUGCGUGUCUGUCUGUGUGUGUGUGUGUGUGUGUGUGUGUGUGUGUGUGUGUGUGUGUGUGUGUGUGUGUGUGUGUGUGUGUGUGCGCUGAUCUAGUGUGACUGUGUGGGCUAAGGUCAGUCAUGAGUUGUUACCAUUCUGUUUCCCCCAUGAAAUCAUUAUUAUAAGGCCUUUUUACAACGCAGUAUAAUCACUCAUGGCAUCGUGGAGAGACGCGGCACAGAAAGAGAGUUUCAGUGAUUCGGAAUUUGGUUUCCCUCAACAAUGAAAAGACAAACUUUACACAGUCACUAUGACCACUGCAGAAUGGUGUAGAAAAUGUGGCUGAUAAACAAAGUGCCCACCAUGUGUAGGCACGUCUCAACCCCUUCAAAAUACAGUGGGCGCUCGGGUCUUUUUCAUCUUUGUUUGUCCAACUCGUCCAUCUUUCAUACGUACCUGUAUGUUUGCCGAGCUCUAUUUGUAGAUUUGUUGCUUGCCAGAGGUAUAACGCCUAUGCUUUAAUACACUCAUAACUGUACAAAUACAGCAGGCACUGUGUCAUUAAGUCAGUUCAACAAGUUCGGACCGAUUUCAAUGCACUACCAUUUGCGAAGCUCGUUACGUUCUAUUUUUUUAUCAUAGAGUUUCAUUUGUUAUAACAAAAAUCAGCUUCAUCUCCCUUGACAAUAUUGCCAGCAGCAUUUCUGCACACGCCUUGAACGAGCACUGCACCAGUUCCUAAAAAGCAGCAAUUACGUUGUUGUUUUUUAUAACCAAAAGAAACAAUGGCCAGUUCUACAAAAAGAGGAUGGUUGUAGUCAUAGAUGCCUUUUAACUUUCUGAACAUCGACAAACUGCAGCUAGGCUGUAAUAAUGGAAGCUUUUGCUCUGAAGUCACUUUAAACGUAGCUUGAGCAUAAAGUGCGUGCUCCAUGGAUGCAUGCGACAGAGAUACAGCCAAGUGAGAGAGCGUUACACCUGCAGGGUGUGCAGGGUUCCUCGCAUUGUUAGGCAGGAAGCACCGACCCGAGAUAAAAAAGAAACAACAGCAAAAACACAGAGGAAAUACAGAGAGAGAGGGAGGCCAGAUGCUCGCUCGCCCCAAGACGAGACUGUAGUGCAAAGGUGAAGGUGUUGGAACAACACAGAGCUUAUUAGCAACAACAGAAAAAUAACAACAUGGUGAGUGAGCCCUGCGGUAAGAGGCUGCACAGUGUGUGCAGAGGAAAGCCCACAAUGACGCACAACCUCACAACACGCGCUGUCGAGUUCAUGCACAUAUUUAUGCCACAAGCAUACGUACAAAUGAAGGCCGUCUCACUGAGGUAUAUGAAUUUGCAGCCGACAAAGGUGCGAGGGACCGUUCAUCGCUGCCUGCGGCUUUUUAUCUGUCGGAGUUUGUGUGUGUGCAGAGGUGUGUGUGUGUGUGUGUGUGUGUGUGUGUGUGUGUGUGUGUGUGUGUGUGUGUGUGUGUGUGUGUGUGUGUGUGUGUGUGUGUGUGAAACGAACUGGUGAAGGCAAAGAGUUACUGGUUGUAAUGUAAAUGUCCAAUUCCAUGCUUUAAUGCUGUGUGUGGCUUAUCCGUUUUUCCCAGACUUGCUUCCCCAAACAGGGCAACAGACACCAGAAGCCUACAGUGUGUGCACUCAAAUACUCAAAUACACACAUGAAUGCACGUACAUAAGCAAACAGAAUGUAAUACAUGAACGCAGUUCAGCAGUUGGUGCAUACGAGGCGGUGUAAGUGCUUGUGUACCACUCUCCCAUCAUCGUGGUAACCGAGCGAUGGGGGCACAUUGUCACGGCAGCGGAUUGAGGGGACGGCCCACUGAAUGUGUGUGAUCAGAUCGGAGUGAACAUGUAUAUUUUUCUGCAGUGCCUGAAGCACCGGCUGGGUGGAGUCGGUGGCUACAGGGUAAUUAAGCUUUUGUCAAUACAGUUUAAAGAAAACCUGUGGUUACCUGCAAGGCACAUCUCAGCUGGCUCACCGCGGAAAGGUUGCACUGAGAGAACAAAUCAACUGAGUGACUCACGCGUUUAUAUGUCUGUUUGUUACGUAGUCAGGGCUGCAACGGCGUAAUUACAAUUGCUGGUGAUCAAUAUAGAGUCGAUAUACAGAUCAUCCAGAUAUGAUGUGUUAUUGUUUUCAAUGGAUAAAAGUUAAUGUAAUUCACUAUAAUGUGUGACCAUUACAAAUUGGGAUUCAAACAAGUAUGCAUGAAUAUUAAUGUUCAUUAUUUAGCCUAGUUGCUAGCCUGACUAAACGUAACAUCAAAUCAAUCAUCCUAAUGGGUGCUAUGUUUUCAGAAUAAAAU